RNAcentral lists this ribosomal RNA (253 nucleotides) under uncultured bacterium. RNAcentral's name for it is "partial 16S ribosomal RNA". It matches the Rfam family "Bacterial small subunit ribosomal RNA", at positions 524 to 776 of the family's 1533-position model. The record is from RNAcentral.
UACGUAGGGGGCAAGCGUUGUCCGGAAUCAUUGGGCGUAAAGAGCGUGUAGGCGGCCCGAUAAGUCCGCUGUGAAAGUCCAGGGCUCAACCCUGGGAUGCCGGUGGAUACUGUCGGGCUCGAGUCCGGAAGAGGAGUGUGGAAUUCCUGGUGUAGCGGUGAAAUGCGCAGAUAUCAGGAGGAACACCCGUGGCGAAAGCGGCGCGCUGGACCACUACUGACGCUGAGGAACGAAAGCUAGGGGAGCAAACAGG